RNAcentral lists this transfer RNA (76 nucleotides) under Methylicorpusculum sp. Its description in RNAcentral is "tRNA-Lys". It matches the Rfam family "tRNA". Rfam says of the family: Transfer RNA (tRNA) molecules are approximately 80 nucleotides in length. Their secondary structure includes four short double-helical elements and three loops (D, anti-codon, and T loops). Lineage: Bacteria; Pseudomonadati; Pseudomonadota; Gammaproteobacteria; Methylococcales; Methylococcaceae. The record is from RNAcentral.
GGGGUGUUAGCUCAGCUGGUAGAGCUGUGGACUCUUAAUCCAUGGCUCCUGGGUUCGAAUCCCUGACGCCCCACCA